This 253-nucleotide ribosomal RNA is filed under the name uncultured bacterium. RNAcentral's name for it is "partial 16S ribosomal RNA". It matches the Rfam family "Bacterial small subunit ribosomal RNA", at positions 524 to 776 of the family's 1533-position model. The record is from RNAcentral.
UACAGAGGUCCCGAGCGUUGUUCGGAUUCACUGGGCGUAAAGGGUGCGUAGGUGGUGAGGUAAGUCGGAUGUGAAAUCUCCGAGCUCAACUCGGAAAUGGCAUUGGAAACUACCUUGCUAGAGGAUUGGAGGGGAGACUGGAAUGCUUGGUGUAGCAGUGAAAUGCGUAGAUAUCAAGCGGAACACCAGUGGCGAAGGCGAGUCUCUGGACAAUUCCUGACACUGAGGCACGAAAGCCAGGGGAGCAAACGGG